Molecule: ribosomal RNA, 389 nt
Filed under: uncultured bacterium
Lineage: Bacteria
Description: bacterial SSU rRNA
Rfam family: Bacterial small subunit ribosomal RNA
Source: RNAcentral
GACGAACGCUGGCGGCGUGCUUAACACAUGCAAGUCGAGCGGUAAGGCCCUUUCGGGGGUACACGAGCGGCGAACGGGUGAGUAACACGUGGGUGACCUGCCCUCAGCUCUGGGAUAAGCCUGGGAAACCGGGUCUAAUACUGGAUAUGACUCCAUGACGCAUGUUGUGGGGUGGAAAGCCUUGUGCGGCUGAGGAUGGGCCCGCGGCCUAUCAGCUUGUUGGUGGGGGUGAUGGCCUACCAAGGCGACGACGGGUAGCCGGCCUGAGAGGGCGACCGGCCACACUGGGACUGAGACACGGCCCAGACUCCUACGGGAGGCAGCAGUGGGGAAUCUUGCGCAAUGGGCGAAAGCCUGACGCAGCGACGCCGCGUGAGGGAUGACGGCCU